CAGAAACAGAGAGCUAGCACAAGGUCACAAGAAGAAGAAGGAAGAUAUAUAGAUAAAAGAGAAACACAGAAUACUACAAAAUUCUUUCUUGGACAUGGCAGAGGAGUUUCAGACCGGGAUUUGCGGCGGGAACUGGUGGAGCUUGUCGAAAAGCGUGUUCAUGGGUGGUGGUUCAUCACCAUGCUCUACGGAUAUUAACGCAACUGACAUGGGGAAUUAUGGGCCGUGGAUGGUGACGGAUGUGGGGGACUUGAAGCCAAGAUCAUGCAAGCUCGAUAAUUCUAAUAAUAUUACUACCACUGAUUCACUCUCAGAUUCCUCAGUUCUUGUGCAAGAUUCGUUAAAGACUCAGCAGACUGAUUCUGAUAGAGCUGGUAGUAGUGUUUUGAUGGAUUCUACCUUGCAAAUGAUGGGUUUUGGGAUUUCAUCUUCUUCUUCCUCAUCAUCUUCCUUAGAUUGGAGCCAAACUUUACUGUAAGUUUUCUUACGAAUCAAGAUUCAAGAUUAAGCGCCCUGAUUUAGAUAUAAAGUUUUGUGUGUUUGUUUCCUUCUUUAAACAAAAAAAAAAAAAGAAAAAUAUUUUCUUGUUCUAAUUAUGGUUGAAUUCAAGCACUUGAAGACCUUAAAAGUCGGCCAAAGCUUCAACUACAAGUUAGAAGAAGAUAUAGCAAAUGACUUGGCUUACAAUCUUUGAUUGGAGAAGGAAGUGAAUAUCAUCAUUAUAAUUUAGUUUUUUCUUUUAAGUUUUAAUUAUCAAGUGGGAAAAAAUUUUGUAUCAAUCAGAUACCCUUUUCUUUUCUUUUUGCAGUCGAAGAAAUGGAAGAGCUGAGAGUUAUAAUUCCAUACUGCAAGAAGACAUGAACUCUUCUCAAGUCCAAAAAGAUUGGAGUAGUCCAAAGAGAAGUACUGGGGAAGAUUCUUCCAAUAACGGUUUUAAAGUAAUAAAUCAAGAUUUCUCUUUAGAGCAACCAAGGCUAAAUAAUCCUUUAAACACCUCCGGAAAUUCCACGGCAACAACUUGCCAAGGCUUAUCCACAGGAUUUUCAAUUGGGUCACCAUCUUAUGGCUACCCUUCAACAUUGAUACCAAGUUUAUUUGAUCCUGAUCCUCAGCCACAACAAACUCUUUUCAACAACCGCACCAUAAACUAUUCUUCCCCUCCAAAUUAUGGGACCAUCUUGAAUGAACUCUCCCCUUCUUGGCCUAAAUUUGCUCCCUUUCUAAAAACCUCAUUGCCAAAGCAGCAGCAGCAGCCUGCAGGUGGCUUGCACUUCUCUAACAAUACUCCCUUUUGGAAUGCCUCGGCAACUGGGCUAAAUGAUAUUAGACACAGUUUUGUACCCUCUUCUCAACCUCAGUUUCUUAUUCCAAUUUUUGAAGAGAAACCCAACUGUCCCAACCUCACUACAAAGACUAACAAUGGAGAAGUUCGAGACUCAGGAUCAGUUGUUAAGAAAGGAAGUGAACCAGCAUUCAAAAGGCCUCGAAUUGAAACGCCAUCGCCAUUACCAACUUUUAAGGUCCGGAAAGAGAAGCUAGGGGACCGAAUAACUGCCCUUCAGCAAUUGGUUUCACCUUUUGGAAAGACUGAUACAGCAUCUGUUCUCCAUGAAGCUAUCGAGUACAUCAAGUUCCUCCAUGAUCAAGUCAGUGUUUUGAGUACUCCAUAUAUGAAAAAUGGCAAUCCCUUUCAACAUCAACAGGGUGGUGAAAAAUUGAAGAACGCAGAAGGGUCAUCAAAACUAGAUCUAAAAAGUCGAGGGCUGUGUCUUGUGCCAAUCUCAAGCACAUUUCCUGUCGCUAAUGAGACUACAGCAGAUUUCUGGACGCCAACGUUUGGAGGUACUUUCAAGUAGAGAGGAUAAAAAAACUAUGAGUUUGAAACCCGAUUGGGGAAGUACUAAUGAUUCCUGCAUAUCCAGUGUAGCAUCAUUAUUCAAAGCAAGAUGGGAUUUAUAACUUGAACACAAAAGGAGAGAAGAUCAUUAGGAGCUGAAUUGCUGUGCUAUAGGCUGCUAGCUGUAACAGUCCUAGGAGAAAAGCCAAAGAAAACAAAAAAGAAAAAGAAGAUAGUUAAAGAAAAGGAAGUGACCCUUCAAAGAUGGAAACAGGCAAUGCUGGGCCAGCUGCAAGCAAAAUGAUUUAGAGCUAGCAAUUGAUCGGGGAGUCG
RNAcentral lists this unclassified non-coding RNA (2170 nucleotides) under Hevea brasiliensis (rubber tree). Lineage: Eukaryota; Viridiplantae; Streptophyta; Magnoliopsida; Malpighiales; Euphorbiaceae. The record is from RNAcentral.